Molecule: ribosomal RNA, 461 nt
Filed under: uncultured bacterium
Lineage: Bacteria
Description: bacterial SSU rRNA
Rfam family: Bacterial small subunit ribosomal RNA
Source: RNAcentral
GAUGAACGCUGGCGGCGUGCCUAAUACAUGCAAGUCGAACGAGGUGCUUGAGUAGCAAUACAAGAGUAUCCUAGUGGCGAACGGGUGAGUAACGCGUGGGUGACCUGCCCCGAAGUGUGGGAUAACAGUCCGAAAGGAUUGCUAAUACCUCAUGUGGUUAUCGGAUUUAGAAACUGAUAACUAAAGCAGCAAUGCGCUUUGGGAGGGACCUGCGUCCCAUCAGCUAGUUGGUGAGGUAAUGGCUCACCAAGGCUACGACGGGUAGGGGACCUGAGAGGGUGGCCCCCCACAAUGGAACUGAAACACGGUCCAUACACCUACGGGUGGCAGCAGUAGGGAAUAUUGCACAAUGGGCGAAAGCCUGAUGCAGCAACGCCGCGUGUGCGAUGAAGGCCUUGGGUCGUAAGCACUUUCUGAGAGAUGAGAAAGGACAGUAUCUCAGGAAUAAGUACUCGGCUAAC